This 396-nucleotide ribosomal RNA is filed under the name Turdus serranus serranus. RNAcentral's name for it is "partial 12S ribosomal RNA". It matches the Rfam family "Bacterial small subunit ribosomal RNA", at positions 794 to 1384 of the family's 1533-position model. The record is from RNAcentral. Lineage: Eukaryota; Metazoa; Chordata; Aves; Passeriformes; Turdidae.
GCCUGGCCCUAAAUCUUGAUGCUCGAUAUUACCUGAGCGUCCGCCCGAGAACUACGAGCACAAACGCUUAAAACUCUAAGGACUUGGCGGUGCUCCAAACCCACCUAGAGGAGCCUGUUCUGUAAUCGAUAAUCCACGAUAUUACCUGACCCAUUCCCUUGCACGAAACAGCCUACAUACCGCCGUCGCCUUCCCACCUCAUAGACAGCCCAACAGUGGACGCAAUAGCCUAACCCGCUAGCAAGACAGGUCAAGGUAUAGCCCACGGAAUGGAAGCAAUGGGCUACAUUUUCUARAAUAGAACAUACGGAUAAGGGUAUGAAACUGCCCUUAGAAGGCGGAUUUAGCAGUAAAGAGAGACAAUUGAGCUCUCUUUAAGCCGGCUCUGGAGCACGU